RNAcentral lists this long non-coding RNA (214 nucleotides) under Ananas comosus (pineapple). RNAcentral describes it as "long non-coding RNA (ACOM_LNC034341)". The record is from RNAcentral. Lineage: Eukaryota; Viridiplantae; Streptophyta; Magnoliopsida; Poales; Bromeliaceae.
UGAGGUCCAACUAUUGCAUUUUUUAUUUAUGUGUUUUUAUUUUUUGAGAGAUAGGUAGCACGUUACUCGCUUCGUUUAUUUCAUUUAGAAAUAAACUUAGCUUGAAAAGUGAAUCAACUAGGAUUCGAACUUGGGACCUCGGGUACUAACCAUCAAAUCUUUUGCCACUUGCUUUAGGGAUGAUCGGUUAUUUAGACGCAAGUGGAAAUGCAGC